This 2071-nucleotide ribosomal RNA is filed under the name Salmonella enterica subsp. enterica serovar Enteritidis. RNAcentral describes it as "partial 23S ribosomal RNA". It matches the Rfam family "Bacterial large subunit ribosomal RNA", at positions 750 to 2802 of the family's 2925-position model. Lineage: Bacteria; Pseudomonadati; Pseudomonadota; Gammaproteobacteria; Enterobacterales; Enterobacteriaceae. The record is from RNAcentral.
GGUUGGGUAACACUAACUGGAGGACCGAACCGACUAAUGUUGAAAAAUUAGCGGAUGACCUGUGGCUGGGGGUGAAAGGCCAAUCAAACCGGGAGAUAGCUGGUUCUCCCCGAAAGCUAUUUAGGUAGCGCCUCGUGAAUUCAUCUCCGGGGGUAGAGCACUGUUUCGGCUAGGGGGCCAUCCCGGCUUACCAACCCGAUGCAAACUGCGAAUACCGGAGAAUGUUAUCACGGGAGACACACGGCGGGUGCUAACGUCCGUCGUGAAGAGGGAAACAACCCAGACCGCCAGCUAAGGUCCCAAAGUCAUGGUUAAGUGGGAAACGAUGUGGGAAGGCCCAGACAGCCAGGAUGUUGGCUUAGAAGCAGCCAUCAUUUAAAGAAAGCGUAAUAGCUCACUGGUCGAGUCGGCCUGCGCGGAAGAUGUAACGGGGCUAAACCAUGCACCGAAGCUGCGGCAGCGACACUGUGUGUUGUUGGGUAGGGGAGCGUUCUGUAAGCCUGCGAAGGUGGCCUGUGAGGGUUGCUGGAGGUAUCAGAAGUGCGAAUGCUGACAUAAGUAACGAUAAAGCGGGUGAAAAGCCCGCUCGCCGGAAGACCAAGGGUUCCUGUCCAACGUUAAUCGGGGCAGGGUGAGUCGACCCCUAAGGCGAGGCCGAAAGGCGUAGUCGAUGGGAAACGGGUUAAUAUUCCCGUACUUGGUGUUACUGCGAAGGGGGGACGGAGAAGGCUAUGUUGGCCGGGCGACGGUUGUCCCGGUUUAAGCGUGUAGGUGUGUGUUCCAGGUAAAUCCGGUUCACUUUAACACUGAGGCGUGACGACGAGGCACUACGGUGCUGAAGCAACAAAUGCCCUGCUUCCAGGAAAAGCCUCUAAGCAUCAGGUAACAUCAAAUCGUACCCCAAACCGACACAGGUGGUCAGGUAGAGAAUACCAAGGCGCUUGAGAGAACUCGGGUGAAGGAACUAGGCAAAAUGGUGCCGUAACUUCGGGAGAAGGCACGCUGACACGUAGGUGAAGUGAUUUACUCAUGGAGCUGAAGUCAGUCGAAGAUACCAGCUGGCUGCAACUGUUUAUUAAAAACACAGCACUGUGCAAACACGAAAGUGGACGUAUACGGUGUGACGCCUGCCCGGUGCCGGAAGGUUAAUUGAUGGGGUCAGCGCAAGCGAAGCUCCUGAUCGAAGCCCCGGUAAACGGCGGCCGUAACUAUAACGGUCCUAAGGUAGCGAAAUUCCUUGUCGGGUAAGUUCCGACCUGCACGAAUGGCGUAAUGAUGGCCAGGCUGUCUCCACCCGAGACUCAGUGAAAUUGAACUCGCUGUGAAGAUGCAGUGUACCCGCGGCAAGACGGAAAGACCCCGUGAACCUUUACUAUAGCUUGACACUGAACAUUGAGCCUUGAUGUGUAGGAUAGGUGGGAGGCUUUGAAGUGUGGACGCCAGUCUGCAUGGAGCCGACCUUGAAAUACCACCCUUUAAUGUUUGAUGUUCUAACGUGGACCCGUUACCCGGGUUGCGGACAGUGUCUGGUGGGUAGUUUGACUGGGGCGGUCUCCUCCUAAAGAGUAACGGAGGAGCACGAAGGUUGGCUAAUCCUGGUCGGACAUCAGGAGGUUAGUGCAAUGGCAUAAGCCAGCUUGACUGCGAGCGUGACGGCGCGAGCAGGUGCGAAAGCAGGUCAUAGUGAUCCGGUGGUUCUGAAUGGAAGGGCCAUCGCUCAACGGAUAAAAGGUACUCCGGGGAUAACAGGCUGAUACCGCCCAAGAGUUCAUAUCGACGGCGGUGUUUGGCACCUCGAUGUCGGCUCAUCACAUCCUGGGGCUGAAGUAGGUCCCAAGGGUAUGGCUGUUCGCCAUUUAAAGUGGUACGCGAGCUGGGUUUAGAACGUCGUGAGACAGUUCGGUCCCUAUCUGCCGUGGGCGCUGGAGAACUGAGGGGGGCUGCUCCUAGUACGAGAGGACCGGAGUGGACGCAUCACUGGUGUUCGGGUUGUCAUGCCAAUGGCACUGCCCGGUAGCUAAAUGCGGAAGAGAUAAGUGCUGAAAGCAUCUAAGCACGAAACUUGCCCCGA